CACGGCCUAACACAUGCAAGUCGAACGAAGGCUUCGGCCUUAGUGGCGCACGGGUGCGUAACGCGUGGGAAUCUGCCCUUGGGUUCGGAAUAACAGCUAGAAAUGGCUGCUAAUACCGGAUGAUGACGUAAGUCCAAAGAUUUAUCGCCCAAGGAUGAGCCCGCGUAGGAUUAGCUAGUUGGUGAGGUAAAGGCUCACCAAGGCGACGAUCCUUAGCUGGUCUGAGAGGAUGAUCAGCCACACUGGGACUGAGACACGGCCCAGACUCCUACGGGAGGCAGCAGUGGGGAAUAUUGGACAAUGGGCGAAAGCCUGAUCCAGCAAUGCCGCGUGAGUGAUGAAGGCCUUAGGGUUGUAAAGCUCUUUUACCCGGGAUGAUAAUGACAGUACCGGGAGAAUAAGCUCCGGCUAACUCCGUGCCAGCAGCCGCGGUAAU
This 436-nucleotide ribosomal RNA is filed under the name uncultured bacterium. RNAcentral describes it as "bacterial SSU rRNA". It matches the Rfam family "Bacterial small subunit ribosomal RNA", at positions 43 to 524 of the family's 1533-position model. The record is from RNAcentral.